This 465-nucleotide ribosomal RNA is filed under the name Vreelandella stevensii. RNAcentral's name for it is "partial 16S ribosomal RNA". It matches the Rfam family "Bacterial small subunit ribosomal RNA", at positions 338 to 795 of the family's 1533-position model. Lineage: Bacteria; Pseudomonadati; Pseudomonadota; Gammaproteobacteria; Oceanospirillales; Halomonadaceae. The record is from RNAcentral.
CCUACGGGAGGCUGCAGUGGGGAAUAUUGGACAAUGGGCGAAAGCCUGUUCCAGCCAUGCCGCGUGUGUGAAGAAGGCCUUCGGGUUGUAAAGCACUUUCAGUGGGGAAGAAAGCCUUGGGGCUAAUACCCUCGAGGAAGGACAUCACCCACAGAAGAAGCACCGGCUAACUCCGUGCCAGCAGCCGCGGUAAUACGGAGGGUGCGAGCGUUAAUCGGAAUUACUGGGCGUAAAGCGCGCGUAGGCGGUCUGAUAAGCCGGUUGUGAAAGCCCCGGGCUCAACCUGGGAACGGCAUCCGGAACUGUCAGGCUAGAGUGCAGGAGAGGAAGGUAGAAUUCCCGGUGUAGCGGUGAAAUGCGUAGAGAUCGGGAGGAAUACCAGUGGCGAAGGCGGCCUUCUGGACUGACACUGACGCUGAGGUGCGAAAGCGUGGGUAGCAAACAGGAUUAGAUACCCUAGUAGUC